Molecule: long non-coding RNA, 359 nt
Filed under: Rattus norvegicus (Norway rat)
Lineage: Eukaryota; Metazoa; Chordata; Mammalia; Rodentia; Muridae
Description: long non-coding RNA NONRATT028646
Source: RNAcentral
GUGGCUCACAGCUAUCUGUAACUCCAGUUGCAGGAGAUCUGAUGCCCUCCUCUGAUCUCUUUUAGUACCAUAUGUGUUGCACAUAUAUAUUCAGACAAAACAUUCAUACCCAUUUCAAAAAGUCUAAGGAAGGGGGAUGGAGACAUGGCUCAGUGGUUAAGACCACUAAUUGCUCUUCCAUAGGACCUGGGUUCAAUUCUCAAUACCCAUAUGGUGGCUUACAUCUGUCUGUAAUUCUAGUUCCAGGGCUUCUGACACCCUCACACAGACAUGCAUACAGAUACAACAUCAAUUAACAUAAAAACAAUAAUGAUAAUAAAAAUAAAGUAAUUUUUAAAAAGUCUAAAGAAAAGAAAAAA